AUUGAACGCUGGCGGCAUGCCUUACACAUGCAGGUCGAACGGCAGCGCGGGGCAACCUGGCGGCGAGUGGCGAACGGGUGAGUAAUAUAUCGGAACGUACCCUGGAGUGGGGGAUAACGUAGCGAAAGUUACGCUAAUACCGCAUACGAUCUAAGGAUGAAAGUGGGGGAUUCGCAAGAACCUCAUGCUCCUGGAGCGGCCGAUAUCUGAUUAGCUAGUUGGUAGGGUAAAAGCCUACCAAGGCAUCGNUCAGUAGCUGGUCUGAGAGGACGACCAGCCACACUGGAACUGAGACACGGUCCAGACUCCUACGGGAGGCAGCAGUGGGGAAUUUUGGACAAUGGGCGCAAGCCUGAUCCAGCAAUGCCGCGUGAGUGAAGAAGGCCUUCGGGUUGUAAAGCUCUUUUGUCAGGGAAGAAACGGGUUUUUCUAAUACAGAGAUCUAAUGACGGUACCUGAAGAAUAAGCACCGGCUAACUACGUGCCAGCAGCCGCGGUAAUACGUAGGGUGCAAGCGUUAAUCGGAAUUACUGGGCGUAAAGCGUGCGCAGGCGGUUUUGUAAGACUGUCGUGAAAUCCCCGGGCUCAACCUGGGAAUGGCGAUGGUGACUGCAAGGCUAGAGUUUGGCAGAGGGGGGUAGAAUUCCACGUGUAGCAGUGAAAUGCGUAGAUAUGUGGAGGAACACCGAUGGCGAAGGCAGCCCCCUGGGUCAAAACUGACGCUCAUGCACGAAAGCGUGGGGAGCAAACAGGAUUAGAUACCCUGGUAGUCCACGCCCUAAACGAUGUCUACUAGUUGUCGGGUUUUAAUUAACUUGGUAACGCAGCUAACGCGUGAAGUAGACCGCCUGGGGAGUACGGUCGCAAGAUUAAAACUCAAAGGAAUUGACGGGGACCCGCACAAGCGGUGGAUGAUGUGGAUUAAUUCGAUGCAACGCGAAAAACCUUACCUACCCUUGACAUGGCAGAAAUCCUCGAGAGAUUGAGGAGUGCUCGAAAGAGAAUCUGCACACAGGUGCUGCAUGGCUGUCGUCAGCUCGUGUCGUGAGAUGUUGGGUUAAGUCCCGCAACGAGCGCAACCCUUGUCAUUAGUUGCUACGAAAGAGCACUCUAAUGAGACUGCCGGUGACAAACCGGAGGAAGGUGGGGAUGACGUCAAGUCCUCAUGGCCCUUAUGGGUAGGGCUUCACACGUCAUACAAUGGUACAUACAGAGGGCCGCCAACCCGCGAGGGGGAGCUAAUCCCAGAA
RNAcentral lists this ribosomal RNA (1250 nucleotides) under uncultured bacterium. Its description in RNAcentral is "bacterial SSU rRNA". It matches the Rfam family "Bacterial small subunit ribosomal RNA", at positions 28 to 1279 of the family's 1533-position model. The record is from RNAcentral.